UACGGAGGGGGCUAGCGUUGUUCGGAAUUACUGGGCGUAAAGCGCACGUAGGCGGAUUUGUAAGUCAGGGGUGAAAUCCCGGGGCUCAACCUCGGAACUGCCUUUAAUACUGCAAAUCUCGAGUCCGGAAGAGGUGAGUGGAAUUCCUAGUGUAGAGGUGAAAUUCGUAGAUAUUAGGAAGAACACCAGUGGCGAAGGCGGCUCACUGGUCCGGUACUGACGCUGAGGUGCGAAAGCGUGGGGAGCAAACAGG
Molecule: ribosomal RNA, 253 nt
Filed under: uncultured bacterium
Lineage: Bacteria
Description: partial 16S ribosomal RNA
Rfam family: Bacterial small subunit ribosomal RNA
Source: RNAcentral